RNAcentral lists this unclassified non-coding RNA (321 nucleotides) under Nitrosomonas nitrosa. RNAcentral describes it as "Long range pseudoknot". Lineage: Bacteria; Pseudomonadati; Pseudomonadota; Betaproteobacteria; Nitrosomonadales; Nitrosomonadaceae. The record is from RNAcentral.
ACGGAUGAAGGGGAUUACAAUAUAAAAUUGCGUAAUCUAAUUAACUUCCUAAAUGAAGGGGAUAAGGUUAAGGUAACCCUGCGGUUCAGAGGCCGUGAAAUGGCGCAUCAGGAAUUUGGUAUUCGCCUGUUAGAGCGAGUCAAAGAUGAUCUUCAGUUAUAUGCGAAUGUGGAGCAAUUUCCUAGGCUAGAAGGCAGGCAAAUGGUGAUGGUGUUGUCACCUAAAAAGAAAGAACCCCAAAAAACUAAAUCAAAAGAGUCAGCGCAAGAAGAUAAAAUAAAUACCUCCUCAAUUACUUCGUAGAUGUAAUCGCUACUCUAU